RNAcentral lists this unclassified non-coding RNA (344 nucleotides) under soil metagenome. RNAcentral describes it as "partial contains 5.8S ribosomal RNA, internal transcribed spacer 2, and large subunit ribosomal RNA". The stretch from base 3 to 121 matches the Rfam family "5.8S ribosomal RNA", at positions 36 to 154 of the family's 154-position model. The record is from RNAcentral.
GAAUGAAGAACGUAGCGAAAUGCGAUAAGUAAUGUGAAUUGCAGAAUUCAGUGAAUCAUCGAAUCUUUGAACGCACAUUGCGCCCGCUAGUAUUCUGGCGGGCAUGCCUGUCCGAGCGUCAUUUCAACCCUCAAGCCCCCGGGCUUGGUGUUGGGGAUCGGCGAGCCUCCGCGCCCGCCGUCCCCUAAAUCUAGUGGCGGUCUCGCUGUAGCUUCCUCUGCGUAGUAGCACACCUCGCACUGGGAAACAGCGCGGCCACGCCGUUAAACCCCCAACUUCUGAACGUUUGACCUCGGAUCAGGUAGGAAUACCCGCUGAACUUAAGCGUAUCAAUAAGCGGAGGA